CAGGUGUUAGUUUAUUAAAAUAUUGGUUUUGGGGACCAGGGAUGGAAAAUUAUUUCUACACUUGA
RNAcentral lists this transfer RNA (65 nucleotides) under Romalea microptera (eastern lubber grasshopper). RNAcentral describes it as "tRNA-Pro". Lineage: Eukaryota; Metazoa; Arthropoda; Insecta; Orthoptera; Romaleidae. The record is from RNAcentral.